This is a non-coding RNA of Rattus norvegicus (Norway rat), 63 nucleotides long. The record is from Rfam. Lineage: Eukaryota; Metazoa; Chordata; Mammalia; Rodentia; Muridae.
GGGGAUUUAGCUCAGUGGUAGAGCACUUGCCUAGCAAGCACAAGGCCCUGAGUUCAGUCCCCA